This is a small nuclear RNA of Protopterus annectens (West African lungfish), 157 nucleotides long. RefSeq annotates it as U1 spliceosomal RNA. Lineage: Eukaryota; Metazoa; Chordata; Ceratodontiformes; Protopteridae. The transcript has a single exon. The record is from RefSeq and is a predicted model, not a curated record.
AUACUUACCUGGCGGGGGGGGUGCUUUGACCAUGAGCUUGGUUCCCCUGGGUGAUGUUCUUCCAUUCCACUUAGGUUGGAUUGACCCCUGUGAUUUCCCCAAAUGUAGGAGAUGUAUUAUUUAUGAUUGCUGGAAAAGCUCACCCAGACUCUGCCAC